UGCCCAGCAACUCCUAUCCCUACCUCCUCGCGGUACUGGCCGGGGUACGAGUAACCUUAGAGAAGAUCGGGUAACCAACCCCCGGUGGGAACUUUGGUCGUAUGCUGACAGGGAAGG
This is a non-coding RNA of Aedes aegypti (yellow fever mosquito), 117 nucleotides long. Lineage: Eukaryota; Metazoa; Arthropoda; Insecta; Diptera; Culicidae. The record is from Rfam.